Drosophila innubila is the source of this 766-nucleotide long non-coding RNA. RefSeq lists it as uncharacterized. The transcript has 3 exons. The record is from RefSeq and is a predicted model, not a curated record. Lineage: Eukaryota; Metazoa; Arthropoda; Insecta; Diptera; Drosophilidae.
GUUGUGUAUUUGUAAAGAAAAGCAAAGUAUCAGCCAGAGUCGACAGUGGCGCUGUGUUGCUUGGCGGAGAGAGAGGGAAGGGGCAGCAUUUUGCAUCUUUACCCAAAACAGGCAAAAGACUUCACAAAAGCAGAUUUAUUAAAUAAAAAAUGAGAAAUCCGCUGUGGUUCAUCUUCUGGCUGAUCAUACUGUUGUGUGUAUCCUUAAUUGUCGCGUUUCUCGGCGCUUUUUUCUACAUUUGGAUGUAUCUGUUGUCCCAAUGCUGCGUUUGCUUUCGGAGUGUUGCAGAUUUCUUUUUGAAGUGCGCCCAGUUUCCAGGUUAUUGUUGUGCAGCCAUGUUAAACUGUCAAUCGUUGUGUUAAUCGGAUCUAAACAUCGUCUCAAAUUCGAUGACUUCAACCCACAAUCUUGGCCGUUCCUGACGACAGCGAGUGCAAGAGUAUGUCUUAUUACUUUUGCAUUUUAAAAUUGGCCACACUUACACCUACACCAAUAUAUAUGCAUGUAUGUAUGUACGUACGAGUGCCACGUAAUCAGCUAAAGCUGCCAAACAGAUUAGCUGUUAAGAUAACGUGCAGCGGGCUUUAACUCGUAACACCCAUGGCACACACACUCAAACACAUUAAUACUCACAUACCCCUUGUACUAUACGUAUGCAUUCAAAAUAGAUAAAAAUCCAUCCAAAUGAGCUGGAUAUUGUUGUUAUGUUAGCUUGUUCAUUUGUUGAUUGAUUUUAAAUAAACUAUACUUGAGCAUUAUUAUUUUG